Molecule: non-coding RNA, 88 nt
Organism: Xylariomycetidae sp. FL2044
Lineage: Eukaryota; Fungi; Ascomycota; Sordariomycetes
Source: the annotation of a GenBank genome assembly
GCAUCAGUGGUUUAGUGGUAAAAUUCGUCGUUGCCAUCUUUGUAAGUUGUGACUCGACGAGCCGGGGGUUCGAUUCCCCCCUGAUGCA